GAUGAAGAACGCAGCGAAAUGCGAUAAGUAGUGUGAAUUGCAGAAUUCAGUGAAUCAUCGAAUCUUUGAACGCACAUUGCGCCCCUUGGUAUCCCGAGGGGCAUGCCUGUUCGAGCGUCAUUUCACCACUCAAGCCUGGCUUGGUGUUGGGCGACGUCCCCUUUGGGGACGCGCCUCGAAACGCUCGGCGGCGUGGCACCGGCUUUAAGCGUAGCAGAAUCUUUCGCUUUGGAAGUCGGGGCCCCGUCUGCCGGAAGACCUACUCGCAAGGUUGACCUCGGAUCAGGCAGGGAUACCCGCUGAACUUAAGCAUAUCAAAACGGAGGA
Molecule: unclassified non-coding RNA, 327 nt
Filed under: soil metagenome
Description: partial contains 5.8S ribosomal RNA, internal transcribed spacer 2, and large subunit ribosomal RNA
Rfam family: 5.8S ribosomal RNA (bases 1-120)
Source: RNAcentral